AGGGCUGUUGCUCAGAGGUAGAGCACCUGCUUUGUAUACAGAAGGUCUCAGGUUUGAGCCCUGCCAUCCCCA
Molecule: non-coding RNA, 72 nt
Organism: Podarcis lilfordi (Lilford's wall lizard)
Lineage: Eukaryota; Metazoa; Chordata; Lepidosauria; Squamata; Lacertidae
Source: the annotation of a GenBank genome assembly